AUAUACAGCCAUACCACCCUGAAUGCGCCGAUCUCAUCUGAUCUGGGAAGCUAAGCAGGGUCAGGCCUGGUAAGUAGUUGGUUGGAAGAAAAUCUGUUCUCUGUAGAAU
This is a ribosomal RNA of Myotis lucifugus (little brown bat), 109 nucleotides long. The record is from Ensembl. NCBI's taxonomy places the organism in Eukaryota, Metazoa, Chordata, Mammalia, Chiroptera, Vespertilionidae.